This 468-nucleotide ribosomal RNA is filed under the name uncultured bacterium. RNAcentral describes it as "partial 16S ribosomal RNA". It matches the Rfam family "Bacterial small subunit ribosomal RNA", at positions 28 to 507 of the family's 1533-position model. The record is from RNAcentral.
GACGAACGCUGGCGGCGUGCUUAACACAUGCAAGUCGAACGGAAAGGCCCUGCUUUUGUGGGGUGCUCGAGUGGCGAACGGGUGAGUAACACGUGAGUAACCUGCCCUUGACUUUGGGAUAACUUCAGGAAACUGGGGCUAAUACCGGAUAGGAGCUCCUGCUGCAUGGUGGGGGUUGGAAAGUUUCGGCGGUUGGGGAUGGACUCGCGGCUUAUCAGCUUGUUGGUGGGGUAGUGGCUUACCAAGGGUUUGACGGGUAGCCCGCCUGGGAGGGGGGACGGGCACAAGAGGACUAAGGGACGGAGCAGUAGGCAACAGGAGGCAAUGGGCGAGAAAAUUACACAAAGAGGCGGAGGCUGAGACGAAGGUGGCCGGAUCGGGAAGAAGGGCUAGUGGGUAGGAACCGAUGUCGGCUGAGACGAAGCCGUAGUGACGGUAAAGGGUAAAGAAGCACCGGCUAACUACGUG